Molecule: ribosomal RNA, 303 nt
Filed under: uncultured bacterium
Lineage: Bacteria
Description: partial 16S ribosomal RNA
Rfam family: Bacterial small subunit ribosomal RNA
Source: RNAcentral
AGCAGUCGCCACGGUAAUACGGAGGGUGCAAGCGUUAAUCGGAAUUACUGGGCGUAAAGCGCACGCAGGCGGUUUGUUAAGUCAGAUGUGAAAUCCCCGGGCUCAACCUGGGAACUGCAUUUGAAACUGGCAAGCUAGAGUCUCGUAGAGGGGGGUAGAAUUCCAGGUGUAUCGGUGAAAUGCGUAGAGAUCUGGAGGAAUACCGGUGGCGAAGGCGGCCCCCUGGACGAAGACUGACGCUCAGGUGCGAAAGCGUGGGGAGCAAACAGGAUUAGAUACCCGGGUAGUCCCUGUCUCUUAUAC